RNAcentral lists this small nucleolar RNA (112 nucleotides) under Castor canadensis (American beaver). RNAcentral describes it as "Small nucleolar RNA SNORA51 (ENSCCNG00000018808.1)". It matches the Rfam family "Small nucleolar RNA SNORA51". Rfam says of the family: ACA51 is a member of the H/ACA class of snoRNA that guide the sites of modification of uridines to pseudouridines. Lineage: Eukaryota; Metazoa; Chordata; Mammalia; Rodentia; Castoridae. The record is from Rfam by way of RNAcentral.
UUCCUCCUCAUGCAUACCAAAGGUUGUAUUCUUACCCUGACUGUAUAGAAAGAGGAGGGAAAGGAAACCUACCCUGUGUGUACCUCAGCCUAAAAAAGAUAGGGGGAAAAGA